Molecule: ribosomal RNA, 512 nt
Filed under: uncultured bacterium
Lineage: Bacteria
Description: partial 16S ribosomal RNA
Rfam family: Bacterial small subunit ribosomal RNA
Source: RNAcentral
GAUGAACGCUGGCGGCGUGCCUAGUACAUGCAAGUCGAGCGAACAGACGAGGAGCUUGCUCCUCUGACGUUAGCGGCGGACGGGUGAGUAACACGUGGAUAACCUACCUAUAAGACUGGGAUAACUUCGGGAAACCGGAGCUAAUACCGGAUAAUAUAUUGAACCGCAUGGUUCAAUAGUGAAAGACGGUUUUGCUGUCACCUAUAGAUGGAUCCGCGCCGCAUUAGCUAGUUGGUAAGGUAACGGCUUACCAAGGCAACGAUGCGUAGCCGACCUGGGAGGGUGAUCGGCCACACUGGAACUGAGACACGGUCCAGACUCCUACGGGAGGCAGCAGUAGGGAAUCUUCCGCAAUGGGCGAAAGCCUGACGGAGCAACGCCGCGUGAGUGAUGAAGGUCUUCGGUUCGUAGAACUCUGUUAUUAGGGAGAACAAAUGUGUAAGUAACUAUGCACGUCUUGACGGUACCUAAUCAGAAAGCCACGGCUAACUACGUGCCAGCCGCCGCCGUAA